UGCAUCGGAAUCGACCCUCGUCCAGUCGUCCGCGCCUCUCCUGGUCCCGCAACGCGCCACUUCCACCAGAUUCUCCCCGCAUAGCAUCGGUUUAAAUCUUGAUUUGCAAACUUUUAAUGAUGAUGAAGAUGUUGAAAGUGAUCAAGAAUAAGGGUUGAAGAUCAUUUUAUAUCUAAUAUUGUAAUUUCU
Molecule: non-coding RNA, 189 nt
Organism: Arachis ipaensis
Lineage: Eukaryota; Viridiplantae; Streptophyta; Magnoliopsida; Fabales; Fabaceae
Source: RefSeq, a predicted model, not a curated record